CCCCGUCCUAUGUAUUCCCUGUAAAAAAAAAAAAAAAAAAGUUGUGUACAUGAGAACAGCUCAGCUCAACACCUCUCCCUCUCAAUGAAAUGACCUCCCUGUUCUCUUUCUUCUCUCAUUAGCCUUUUGGGCUCUCUGUUUCUAGGGACAUUCCUCCUCGACACACUGCUUCUGUCUUCUCCUUCCUCGUUACUCAUCUUCUCCUUAUAUAUUCACCGUUCACACAAGAAACAGAGAGACUCCAUUUAUUUAAGGCAAGACUCAAAGAAAAAGAUAUAAUGAACACACCAAUUAACACAAAAAUGGUGGUCUCUCACCUGCCUUCUGGUUUUCUCCUAAUUUUAUCUUUAUUUGCUGUUCUUGUUUCUGGGUCUCGAAGAACUUUACCUAUUAUACCAUUUGAUGAAGGAUACACCCAGCUUUUUGGGGAUGAUAAUCUGGUCAUUCACAAAGAUGGCAAGAAAGUCCAUUUAUCGCUAGAUGAAAGAACAGGGUCUGGAUUCGUUUCUCAGGACCUAUACUUACAUGGCUACUUCAGUGCUUCUAUCAAGUUGCCUGCAGAUUAUACUGCUGGAGUUGUGGUUGCUUUUUAUAUGUCAAAUGGAGAUAUGUUCGAGAAGAACCAUGAUGAGAUUGACUUUGAGUUCUUGGGUAACAUAAGAGGCAAAGACUGGAGGAUACAGACAAAUAUUUAUGGUAAUGGUAGCACCAACGUUGGCAGAGAAGAAAGAUACAGCCUCUGGUUUGAUCCCUCUGAUGAUUUCCAUCAGUACAGCAUUCUCUGGACUGAUUCCCAGAUCAUGUGAGUGAAAACCCACUUCACCGUCUUUGAUUUUCUCAGUAUUUGUUCAACUUCUUUUAUUUUGUUUGAUAUUAUUUGUUAUAAAGACAGCUAUUUAGAGGCUGUACUUCACCAGCUUGUCACUAAUGAGUUCAUGUUCUACAGUAUGGAAUUUACUGCUUUAGGUUGUUUUGAUGUUGAUUCAUCUGUUGUCGGGUAGAGGUAGAGUUUCUUGUUUUGGGGAAUUAGUACAGAAAGUUCUCUGUUCUUUUGCCUAUAGUUGCAUGCCCCUGUUUUAUCAAAACCAGUUUUCCUGUUUAAGCUUUGUUUGAUUAUUGAGAAAGGGUGGACAAGAUUCGAGUUUUGAUUACAAGAUCUUUUCUCAAAUUUAAGAACCUAUAAAACGAAACACUGAUGUGAUGGAGCCCUGAAGUCUUUACUCUUUAAAUUAUUUGAUUUUAACUUAUCAUUAUUUAUAUGGAGGACCAAAAACAACAAAGAACUUGUUAGUUUGGUUGCCAAUCUUUUCUUCCCCCUACUUUUCCAAAGUUUUUUGUGUUGCUAUUUAGGGGUAAUGAUUUUCUAGCUGGGAUAAGAAACAAACAAGAAUGAUUACAGUAGUACAAAUAAUUAAUGGAAUAUUUUUGGAUUAAUCUCUGUUUAUGCUAUAACAGUUAUUCUAAUUCUGUGUUGUUCAUUUAUUUUCCUUGAUAGAUUUUAUGUGGACAAUGUUCCUAUUAGGGAGGUGAAAAGAACAGUAUCUAUGGGGGGUGAUUUCCCUUCAAAGUCAAUGUCUUUGUAUGCAACGAUAUGGGAUGGGUCUGACUGGGCUACCAAUGGAGGCAAAUAUAGAGUAAAUUACAAAUAUGCACCUUAUGUCACAGAAUUCAGCGACUUUGUGCUACAUGGAUGUGCUGUUGAUCCGAUUGAACAGCACAUAUCAAAAUGUGAUAUUGCAGAGAGUUCUCAAGCAAUCCCCACUGGUGUCACCCCAUUGCAAAGAAUUAAAAUGGACAGUUUUAGGACAAAGUAUAUGACAUAUUCCUAUUGCUAUGAUCAAGCUCGAUACAAGGUUCCUCCAUCUGAGUGCGUUAUUAAUUCCCAAGAAGCUGAACGACUCAAAUCAUUCGAUCCUGUUACAUUUGGAGGAGGCCGGCGCCAUCAUGGGAAACGCCAUCGCCGGAGCAGAUCAUGGCAUCCUGAGGACAUUUCCAUUUAAGGAAGUUGCAUCAUCACUGCAUAAUGUUGGGGAUCAUUGUUAUUUUGUUAAAAAUUAUGCUUUGAUCUAGCUGGGGAUCAGUUAUUUUUUGUGAAUAGAGAGAAAGCUGAUAGAUUUUUACUGAGGGAUGGUAGGUAUGGUUGAUGAUGGG
RNAcentral lists this unclassified non-coding RNA (2151 nucleotides) under Hevea brasiliensis (rubber tree). The record is from RNAcentral. Lineage: Eukaryota; Viridiplantae; Streptophyta; Magnoliopsida; Malpighiales; Euphorbiaceae.